AUUGAACGCUGGCGGCAGGCUUAACACAUGCAAGUCGAGCGGUAACAGAGAGAAGCUUGCUUCUCUGCUGACGAGCGGCGGACGGGUGAGUAAUGCCUAGGAAUCUGCCUAGUAGUGGGGGAUAACUUGCCGAAAGGUAAGCUAAUACCGCAUACGUCCUACGGGAGAAAGGAGGGGACCUUCGGGCCUUUCGCUAUUAGAUGAGCCUAGGUCGGAUUAGUUAGUUGGUGAGGUAAUGGCUCACCAAGACCGCGAUCCGUAACUGGUCUGAGAGGAUGAUCAGUCACACUGGAACUGAGACACGGUCCAGACUCCUACGGGAGGCAGCAGUGGGGAAUAUUGGACAAUGGGGGGAACCCUGAUCCAGCCAUGCCGCGUGUGUGAAGAAGGUCUUAGGAUUGUAAAGCACUUUAAGUUGGGAGGAAGAGCAGUUAACUACUAUUUGACUGAUUUGACGUUACCGACAGAAUAAGCACCGGCUAACCUCGUGCCAGCCGCCGCAGUAA
RNAcentral lists this ribosomal RNA (506 nucleotides) under uncultured bacterium. Its description in RNAcentral is "partial 16S ribosomal RNA". It matches the Rfam family "Bacterial small subunit ribosomal RNA", at positions 30 to 523 of the family's 1533-position model. The record is from RNAcentral.